Molecule: long non-coding RNA, 235 nt
Filed under: Homo sapiens (human)
Lineage: Eukaryota; Metazoa; Chordata; Mammalia; Primates; Hominidae
Description: HSALNT0262154
Source: RNAcentral
UCGCUCUGUUGCCUUGAAAAUAUUUAGGAAGUGCCAGCCAGGUGUUGGCUCCCAUUGCUGCCACUAUGAUCGUCAGUGGUGUUGGUGUGAUUUGUGCUAGGACCUCGGGCCAGCCAUGUCCCCCAGGGACUCAGUUUCCUUAUGCAGAAACUGGGCAGGAUUGGCUGUCCUCAAGCAUUGGUUGUUUUUAGCACCCCUGAGGAACUUCGUACAAAUCCAGGCGCCCUGGUUCCUC